CAGGCUCCUCCGUCCAUGGGAUUUUCCAGGCAAGAGUACUGGAGUGGGGUGCCAUUGCUUUCUCCGAGCUGACUCUAGACCCCCUGCUUCUCUAAGUUUCUGAAACAGUGGGUAAGCGUUAGUGAAAUCCAUUUCACCUGUAACCUACCUUCACUAAUCAAGGCUGUUUUAAUUGUCAGUACGGAAAACAUGCAUGUCCUCCAAGCAGCAUGUGGCCUAAAUAAGAUGUUUGCCCAAGUUGUUUUCUGGGAACUUGGAAUCAGCUAUGUCUAGUUCCAGCUGAGCUGACUAAGACUGGAUGGGACCACUGACCCUUCAACCAGGCAUGCACGAGAGUUCCAUUAGUGCCCUUUUGAAGGUGCAGAGCCUGUAGCCUAGUUAUGCCUGCUCAGAACCAUGAUUACUGCAGCUUUUCCUUAUUGUCUCCCCCCAACUACUCUCACAGCUCAGGUGCCCUGCUUCUUUCUCCCAUAAAUACCCCGAACCCCUGCCUUCAGGGAAGAGGAUUCGAGAUUUGUUCUUCAGCCUCCUCACUUGGCUGCCUUGUGAAUAAACCCUCUCUUUGCUGUAAACUUUGGCAUCUCAGCAUUUUGGCUGCAAAGCUAGGGCAGAGGGAACCUGGUUCGGUAACAAAUACGGCACACCAGCCAGGAGAUAAAUCCAGAUGGACCUGCUGCCCAUGGUUGGUCAACCUGUUGCUGGUAUUAAAAGCCUGUGGAACAGAGGGGGAGGAUAUUAGUUAACUUCAGGAAGAUGUGGAAAGUAUCAGGCUAUAUUAUUGGAUAAUCCUAAUGUCACUCUGAAAACAGCCUCCACCUUGCAUCCUGCCAGUGUGCUCCCAAAUAAUGCUGAAGAGCUUAUGCAUGAUUGUAUUCCGAUAAUUGAACCAGUCUAUUCCAGCCAUCCCAACCUGAUAGACCAGCCACUGGAGAAACCAGACCUUGAGAUGUUCACAGAUGGAAGCAGCUUUAUGGAUCAGGAAGAAUGCAAAGCUGAGUAUGUGGUGGUAACUCACCAAAAUACCCUGGAAGCAGAAGCUUUUCCCCCAGGAAUCUCUGCACAAAAGGGAGAACUAAGAUGAGAGCCCUCCAUCUAUGUAAGGCUAGGAGAGUAACUGUUUUCACUGAUUCUAAAGUAUGCUUUCUUGGUGACCCAUGUUCAUAGGGCCAUUUGGAGAAAGGACUGUUAACUGCAGGGAAUAAGGAACUUAAUCCUGCUGAAGAAAUUUUAACCUUAUUAGAAACUGUCAUGGAGCCAAAAGAAUGAAUGUCCACUGUUCAGGACAUCAGAAAGCAGAUUGUGUGACUGCUGGAAGGAAUAAUCUAGCAGAUCAAGCAGCAAAGCCAUCAGCCAGGAGCACCUAGGUCCCAGAGCUGGCUCUGGUCGCCGAUGUAGAUCUGAUGUUUGCCCGUGCCACUGCUGUCCUGGAGGCUGGAUCCUGGAGAAAUCUUGGGAGAA
Bubalus bubalis (water buffalo) is the source of this 1458-nucleotide long non-coding RNA. RefSeq lists it as uncharacterized. NCBI's taxonomy places the organism in Eukaryota, Metazoa, Chordata, Mammalia, Artiodactyla, Bovidae. The record is from RefSeq and is a predicted model, not a curated record. The transcript is spliced from 3 exons.